Non-coding RNA from Triticum aestivum (bread wheat), 182 nucleotides. The record is from Rfam. Lineage: Eukaryota; Viridiplantae; Streptophyta; Magnoliopsida; Poales; Poaceae.
AGCCGGGUGAAGAUUCUCAGACCAUAGGAAGUGUUGUAUGACACUGUCAACAAUAGCUGCUGCUUCUCCACUGCAAGUGUCCUCCUUUGGCCAUAACCUUUGUAGUUUGGUCUUUGCUGCAAUCCCCAUUCACUUGGUUUUUUUCAGCUCUGUAUGCAAUUUUAAACAGGUCUUCUUUUUCU